RNAcentral lists this long non-coding RNA (290 nucleotides) under Vigna radiata. RNAcentral describes it as "long non-coding RNA (VRAD_LNC005823)". Lineage: Eukaryota; Viridiplantae; Streptophyta; Magnoliopsida; Fabales; Fabaceae. The record is from RNAcentral.
UUUAAGAAUCUAACGUAUAUUUAUUUGUUUAAAUAUUACCAAAGGGUAAAAAAAAAAUAAGGAGGUGUAGGGAGUGUGUGAUGGUGGAAGGAGUAACUCUCCCAUACCUUUGAUGUGUAUUUAUAGGUUUUUCAUUGGGCUUUUGAUUAAGAUCGACCUACUUAUGGCCCAAUUUCAUUAAACCUGGGGGUGUUGCUCCCUACACCUCUCCAAGUGGGACCUGUACCUCCCCAUUAAUUUAAUUUAUUUCAAAAAUAUUCUACACCUCCCCACUAUUUUCUUUUAUUCCA